UGCAGUUCAGGAAACCAGGCUGAAGAACGUGAAGUAUAUCGCCCAAAGUCAGACACGAAGGAACAACUGCUUUGGAGCUAGCACAUUCCUGAGCUGGAAUUGCACCACUGGUCAAUGGGACUGCAGAAUCCAAACUGCUUUCUACCGGAACAACUCCUUCCCUGCAGGAAGCAGGGUGCUCAUGGCUGAACCAUGGUCUGAGAAGGUUGAUGAAGUCACUGACUCAGCCCCAGCAAGGAAGUUGUCCUUCGACUUCUGACCUCUGGCCAUGUUUGAAAACCAACUCAAAUCGUCUUUCUUUUUCAGAUUUGGAAACUUCUGCAGUUUCAAUCAAAGAAAUGGUGCUGGCAUUCAAAAGGAAGAUGGAGAAUUCACUGGAGAACUACAAUGGCUUCACAACGAAUGUAAAAGACAAGUCUCAGGAAAAGAUGUAA
Molecule: long non-coding RNA, 434 nt
Filed under: Macaca mulatta (Rhesus monkey)
Lineage: Eukaryota; Metazoa; Chordata; Mammalia; Primates; Cercopithecidae
Description: lncRNA (ENSMMUG00000049935.1)
Source: RNAcentral